UUACAUCUACAAAUAACAUCAAAGUUGUUCCAACUUCUUCACAAAACAAGGUGUCAUCUCGAAUGUAAUUUUGGAUAGCUGCUGUUAUUUUUACUGCUCAUGUUGCUAUUUCUGUUGUAUUAUACCAUCAUUGUCUGAAGGUUCUCAACAUUGUAAUGCCUAACCAAUGGUUGACCAUUGUUGGCUGAAGAAGAAGAAAAAGAAACAAAAAACAUUUGUGUAAAUCCACAAUGUUCAGUCUGUUGAGAAUUCAACUAAAACCCCAGGAACCGCUUUUUGCCUGAAAGCUUUGCAGUGCUAUUUGUUGCAGUCUUGUGUGUUGCGGACACACAAGCAAUUUGGAAGUGUCAACAUUUAAAUGCUUGACAACCAAAUGAAAAAUGAUCUCCCUAUCACAGAGGCUCCAGAUCUUUUGUGAACUUUUCCUUCUUCGCUGUUAUUUGGUUAAACCUUUUUCAGAUUUUUCUGAAACAGGAACUCCUUUUUCAAGGUAGAAAAAAAGUCUAUUAUUCUGUGAAUUAGACCAGCAUCAAAGUGAAUAUAUAUAACAUUUUGGAAUUUAUAUAUUUGUAUGAAAAAUAAAUAAAAAUAAAAAUCUUGAUUAUGAGAAA
This is a long non-coding RNA of Octopus bimaculoides (California two-spot octopus), 611 nucleotides long. NCBI's taxonomy places the organism in Eukaryota, Metazoa, Mollusca, Cephalopoda, Octopoda, Octopodidae. The record is from RefSeq and is a predicted model, not a curated record.